CUUAGGGCUUUGAUAGGAGAUCUAGAAAAGUGGACAGAUAAACCUAUCUCUUGGAUAGGCCGUAUUAAUUCUGUAAAAAUGAACAUCCUUCCAUGCAUCCUAUUUUUAUUUCAAGCAUUAACUGUCCGCGUCACAAAAAACGCAACUGAUACUGUUACAAAGAUCGAUAGGAGAUUUAAUUUGUCAGAACAAGAGGCACAGAAUCUCUAUACAAGUUCUGUAUAGACGUAAAGACAGAGGGGGAUUGAGCCUACUGAGUUUAUAU
This is a non-coding RNA of Pelobates cultripes (western spadefoot toad), 265 nucleotides long. The record is from the annotation of a GenBank genome assembly. Lineage: Eukaryota; Metazoa; Chordata; Amphibia; Anura; Pelobatidae.